GGCGCACGGGUGCGUAACACGUAGGUAACCUGCCCUCGAGCCUGGGAUAACUCGGGGAAACUCGGGCUAAUACCGGGUACGGCCGCCGGGUCCUCGGACCUGGUGGAGAGAGGUGGCCUCUGCUCGCAAGCUACCGCUCGAGGAUGGGCCUGCGUCCCAUUAGCUAGUUGGUGAGGUAAUGGCCCACCAAGGCGAAGAUGGGUAGCUGAUCUGAGAGGACGAUCAGCCACACUGGAACUGAGACACGGUCCAGACUCCUACGGGAGGCAGCAGUAGGGAAUUUUGGGCAAUGGGCGAAAGCCUGACCCAGCAACGCCGCGUGAGGGAUGAAGGCCUUCGGGUCGUAAACCUCUGUCAGGAGGAAAGAAUUCCCCUUGGCUAAUAUCCAAGGGUGUUGACGGUACCUCCAAAGGAAGCGCCGGCUAACUCCGUGCCAGCAGCCGCGGUAAUACGGAGGGCGCAAGCGUUGUUCGGAAUUACUGGGCGUAAAGCGCGUGCAGGCGGUCGAGCAAGUCGGUUGUGAAAGCCCCAGGCUCAACUUGGGAAUUGCAUCCGAAACUGCUCGGCUAGAGU
This 573-nucleotide ribosomal RNA is filed under the name uncultured Pseudomonadota bacterium. Its description in RNAcentral is "bacterial SSU rRNA". It matches the Rfam family "Bacterial small subunit ribosomal RNA", at positions 97 to 647 of the family's 1533-position model. The record is from RNAcentral. Lineage: Bacteria; Pseudomonadati; Pseudomonadota.